GUUCAAGAAAUCGAUAAAAUGAAUAUUUUAAUUUUCGAAGAAAAAAAUAUUAAAUUGACACCGAAGAAUAGAUUGAGAGGUUAACAAUGAUGUAAAGUCUCAGGAGGCAUUCAGAUAUAUUUUAACAUGUUUGCAGUCAUAUUAUUGAGUUAGAAACUGAUGACAAUACAGGAAAUUGUCAGAGGAAAUAUCACAAAUACAUAAUCUUCAGGAAAUAAUAUGCUUAUGUAGAAAUCGUUGUAUCACAUCAUUUUAGUUAUCUUGCUUCACUAUGGUUCUUGCUGACCUACGGGAUCAUUAAAACAGUUUAAUGAACAGUGAUAUUAUCACAGUUUAAUGAAGAAUGAUAUAUAUAUAUAUAAACGCAUUACAAGAAACUCUCUGUUUCCUUUCAUGUUUGCAUUUUAAUAACUGUCAGAAAUAAUUAUGAGCUCUUGUUUUAAAAAAUCUUUAAAAAGACAAUUGGCUCUGGAUAAUUCCUAAAAAUAUAGCUAAAUUAAUUGUCUGUGAGAGUUAUCUCCAAUUAGUUUUUAUUAAGUUACAUAUGAAGAGUGAUUCUUGACUUUUAUUUAGCAAUAUAAGAUAACGCCAAAUACUUACAAGUCGCUGUAAUUACUUCGUGUUAAUUUAAAAGCAAUCCCCGUCUCCCUUCUCAUAGAAGCCACCGCCUUCUUUGCGACCGGAAGUUGCCAUGAUGCCUGUUUCUUCCAGUAUUGUUCCCUCUACGCAUUCCAUUGUAAUGAACAAUUUCUAUCUUUUUCUGAUACUGUAUGAUUUAAGAAAAUAGAUAUAUAAAACAAUCAAUAAUAGAAA
This 813-nucleotide long non-coding RNA is filed under the name Apis mellifera (honey bee). Its description in RNAcentral is "uncharacterized LOC102654815, transcript variant X2". Lineage: Eukaryota; Metazoa; Arthropoda; Insecta; Hymenoptera; Apidae. The record is from RNAcentral.